RNAcentral lists this long non-coding RNA (3506 nucleotides) under Daucus carota (carrot). RNAcentral describes it as "long non-coding RNA (DCAR_LNC004780)". Lineage: Eukaryota; Viridiplantae; Streptophyta; Magnoliopsida; Apiales; Apiaceae. The record is from RNAcentral.
UUAUGUUUUGCAGUCUCAAAUAAUAAAAUUCACAACAAGAGCGUGUAUAAAAGGUCCAGGUCUCACUAAUUUCACAAAAAUAACAUCGGUACAUGUCCUAUGAAACAGAUGUGGGCUUGACCUUCUCCCUCAGGAAUUGCAAGAUGUGUUCUCGUUUCCAGUUGUCCACCCUGCACAUAAAAAUACCUAGUGCUGAGUUUUAUAGAUAAUCAGGACAUUUACAAGUAGAUUCUAAACAAAUUGGCAACACAGGUCCACCAAUGCAAGUGUAUUACAUAAUUCCCAAUGUAAACCAGCAUUAUGCAGAUAAAUUUCAGAAACUCAUAGUAUUUAGGGCAGUCAAAAUGCAUGCAUCAAUCAAGAUGUAUGUACUUUUUUAACAUAACUAGAGUUAUACUCAGUAAUGAAUUUUGAUUUGCUCGAAGCCAUCUUGUGUUCAUUUACCGUACAGAUUUUACGGUAGUUCAAAUCCCCAGAGACAGAACACAUCCCUAAAGCGGUUAAUAAUAUAUACACUAAAACAAUUCUUAAAAACUUGCUGCCUGAUUUCUCAAUCACAGAAUAAUGUGAGCACAAGUUUCAGAAGAUGACAAGCCCAAGAUUCCCUACUAUAGCUUAAUAGCUUAUAGAACCAAGAACAGGUUACUUUUAAAUGUUUUAUUUUUUUUUUUGUGAUUUAUAGUUAUUAAUUUUUUAUAUUAUUCAAUAAUUUUAAUCAGGAAUAUAAUAUGGUUGUUGGAAUUUGACAUUUAUAUAUAUCUUUAAAACUAAUAUUAAACAAAUUAAUUUUAAUAUGUUGUUGAUGGGGAAUCGAACCGUAGAAUUUUGUAUAAUUUUUUUUUAUAAUAUUGUAUCUUACAGUUUUUAUCCAUUUGACAAAAAAAAUAAAAUUAACAGUGGUCAUUAAGAGGGAUAACCAAAAAUUAGGGAGAACCAAACUACAAACUAUACCUAUGUUCGGUUAUUAUAUUUUAAUAUUAGUAUUGAUAAGCACCGCCACUGCAAAAAAAUUGAGUUAAUAAAGCUCACCUUAUGGUCUCUUUAUGUUGUCCAUCAUCAUCCAACAUAAUCAACUUUGGUGGAGAAUUGUAUGCAUAAUUGACUUUCACUGUUGGGAACUUUUCCUUCUCUUCUUCAAUGAAACCAACAAUUUCAGGAUAAAAAACCAGCUUCCUCAUGCAGACCUCUAGAACUGCACCUGAGUAGAUAAUCUGCAAUAUACAUAAAAGACCGAGACAAGAACAUUAAAGUUACGGAAGCAAGUCAAGUAACUAUUCUCAGCAAGAUUUCCAAUGCUCAUAAUAUCUAAAUGUGCUUGUUGUAGAUAGCAAAAACCUUUCCACGCGUCUUUCUAUCAACCUAAAUAGUGUCUCACUUAUACUUUCAUGAUCUGCUUUCAAUAAACAAUGUGAACUUAUGGAGCAGCAAAUAUAAUUAAUAAAGAUACCCCCUCACUCCUAACAGCAUAAUCUCAAAAUUUAGAAACCUGACUACGAAAAAACCUUAUUACCAAAUUCAUCCCAAGGCCACUUAUAUUCUCUUUCUUAAUGAAUAAACCAUUAAAAUCAAUAUACAAUUUCUUAAUAGUGUCUUCGGUUUCAAAUUAUUUGAGGUUAUUUUAAUAUUGGCUUUAACAAGCACUGCAAAUUGUAGAUGAAAAAUUACAACAGGAGUCCAGGACAUUCGGAAAAAGAUUAGAAAAUAUCUACAUUAGGAUAGAGGGAACAGUAACAGUGUCUUCGGUUUCAAAUCAUUUGAGGUUAUUUUAAUAUUGGCUUUAACAAGCACUGCAAAUUGUAGAUGAAAAAUUACAACAGGAGUCCAGGACAUUCGGAAAAAGAUUAGAAAAUAUCUACAUUAGGAUAGAGGGAACAGUAACAGUGUCUUCGGUUUCAAAUCAUUUGAGGUUAUUUUAAUAUUGGCUUUAACAAGCACUGCAAAUUGUAGAUGAAAAAUUACAACAGGAGUCCAGGACAUUCGGAAAAAGAUUAGAAAAUAUCUACAUUAGGAGAGAGGGAACAGUAAAAUGUGCAAUAUAUUAAAUGUAAAGUGCAAUAAUUUAAUAUGGUAUUCACAACAUUGUUUGAAAAGAAUUUGCAUCCAUACCUUGCUCAUAGAAUCAUCAGAAUCUUCCGUACAGCACUUCUUACAAUCAGAUACAAGUUCUGCAGAUAAUCAAAAGACUUAAUAAAAAAAGGAAGCACUGUUCUUAUGAAACGGGGUACAAAAACAGAUACACGAAACAUCACUUUUAAUAUAAUACAUAUAUAUCAUAGAAGUCGUUGUGUAUUAUUACAAGUUCAAUAUGAUUAUUUGUGAUUUAUCAUGUUAUUGAAUUAAAUGAUACAAUUAACUGGACUUGUGUGUUCAAAAAUCAGGACAUAUAUAAAUACACUAGUACUGGACUACUGGACUACUUGAAGAUAAUGGUUGGGAAUAAAGUUUUGGGCCAAUACAUAUAGGUGCUCAAAUUUGAGUAGACUGUGCUAACCCUAAUCUAUCAGCAGUCAUGUAGAGUGAAAUAGAGACAGAUAGAUUAUAUACAAUUGUCCUGCCUCUUCUCCCUCUUCUUCUCUUCCUUUCAUCUUCUUCCUCCUCCAAAUAGUAUGCUAUGUCAUUAGAGUCCUACAACAUCAAAGUUAACUGCAAAAUUGUUCCCAUACGCCGUUUCGUCACCAUGAACGAACCAAGACGCAUUUGUUCACGGAUCAGGGACAACAAUCAGGAUUGAAAAACAGGGCUCCGUCCCGCGUUCCUUGUAGUUAUUAGUUAAACAAAAAGCAUUGACUGAACCAAGACGGUAUAAUCACAAAACUAUCAUCAUAGUUAUGAACUACUUGAUAGGCUGAAUCAAGGAAGGAAGCAAUAAUGAAAAAAGAAAGAGCAGAAAAAUGAGGUACAGAAUUUCAGUGACGAAACUUUAACCAAAAACAGCAGUUUGAAGGAUGGAACAUUCAUCCGUAAUUUGGUGGGUAUAAGCUUUAGUUUAAAUUGCUAGGCAUGCAAUAGAAUUAUAAAUGAAAAUUAAAAUGGUGUAGCCAUAAUGAGUAUAAAUUUCAUUCCAUCCAGGCUCCGACACAAAAGCAAAUCUACCAUGUUUGUAUAAAUGAUUUGAAAUAAUGCAAUAACCAAUUUAAAGGGUAUGUGGUGUGUAACAAUGCCUAAUUACAAUUUGCGUCUCUUUGCAAACCUUAUCAAAUAAAAGAAAAAUCAUAAACACAAAUUGAUUGUCCCAAAUCAAAAUCGUAAAAUUACAUAAAAUACUAAAAUCCAACACGAUUCAAAUCGAAAGUGAAGUAAAAACAAGAAAGUCAAUCAAGAUAUACAAAGAGAAGAAGUAGUGGACCUUGAUCUUUGACAAAAUCAGCAAAAGAAUUGCAGUCAGAGCAGAGAGCAAGACCCGUAAACCCUAGAUUUUCACACUCUUUGGAGCUCAAUUCCUGUGCACCAAUCACAGAAAAUGAUAAUAAUGCAACUAAUGAAUACACCAAUAACCCAUUCUUCAC